CACGAACCGGACAAGCGUUAAUCGGAAUUACUGGGCGUAAAGCGCGCGUAGGUGACUUGAUAAGCCGGUUGUGAAAGCCCCGGGCUCAACCUGGGAACGGCAUCCGGAACUGUCAAGCUAGAGUACAGGAGAGGAAGGUAGAAUUCCCGGUGUAGCGGUGAAAUGCGUAGAGAUCGGGAGGAAUACCAGUGGCGAAGGCGGCCUUCUGGACUGAUACUGGCACUGAGGUGCGAAAGCGUGGGUAGCAAACAGG
This 253-nucleotide unclassified non-coding RNA is filed under the name uncultured Halomonadaceae bacterium. RNAcentral's name for it is "contains 16S-23S intergenic spacer region". It matches the Rfam family "Bacterial small subunit ribosomal RNA", at positions 524 to 776 of the family's 1533-position model. Lineage: Bacteria; Pseudomonadati; Pseudomonadota; Gammaproteobacteria; Oceanospirillales; Halomonadaceae. The record is from RNAcentral.